Molecule: ribosomal RNA, 465 nt
Filed under: Vreelandella stevensii
Lineage: Bacteria; Pseudomonadati; Pseudomonadota; Gammaproteobacteria; Oceanospirillales; Halomonadaceae
Description: partial 16S ribosomal RNA
Rfam family: Bacterial small subunit ribosomal RNA
Source: RNAcentral
CCUACGGGUGGCAGCAGUGGGGAAUAUUGGACAAUGGGCGAAAGCCUGAUCCAGCCAUGCCGCGUGUGUGAAGAAGGCCUUCGGGUUGUAAAGCACUUUCAGUGGGGAAGAAAGCCUUGGGGCUAAUACCCUCGAGGAAGGACAUCACCCACAGAAGAAGCACCGGCUAACUCCGUGCCAGCAGCCGCGGUAAUACGGAGGGUGCGAGCGUUAAUCGGAAUUACUGGGCGUAAAGCGCGCGUAGGCGGUCUGAUAAGCCGGUUGUGAAAGCCCCGGGCUCAACCUGGGAACGGCAUCCGGAACUGUCAGGCUAGAGUACAGGAGAGGAAGGUAGAAUUCCCGGUGUAGCGGUGAAAUGCGUAGAGAUCGGGAGGAAUACCAGUGGCGAAGGCGGCCUUCUGGACUGACACUGACGCUGAGGUGCGAAAGCGUGGGUAGCAAACAGGAUUAGAUACCCCUGUAGUC